GUAUCAGAAGUGCGAAUGCUGACAUAAGUAACGAUAAAGCGGGUGAAAAGCCCGCUCGCCGGAAGACCAAGGGUUCCUGUCCAACGUUAAUCGGGGCAGGGUGAGUCGACCCCUAAGGCGAGGCCGAAAGGCGUAGUCGAUGGGAAACGGGUUAAUAUUCCCGUACUUGGUGUUACUGCGAAGGGGGGACGGAGAAGGCUAUGUUGGCCGGGCGACGGUUGUCCCGGUUUAAGCGUGUAGGUGUGUGUUCCAGGUAAAUCCGGUUCACUUUAACACUGAGGCGUGACGACGAGGCACUACGGUGCUGAAGCAACAAAUGCCCUGCUUCCAGGAAAAGCCUCUAAGCAUCAGGUAACAUCAAAUCGUACCCCAAACCGACACAGGUGGUCAGGUAGAGAAUACCAAGGCGCUUGAGAGAACUCGGGUGAAGGAACUAGGCAAAAUGGUGCCGUAACUUCGGGAGAAGGCACGCUGACACGUAGGUGAAGUGAUUUACUCAUGGAGCUGAAGUCAGUCGAAGAUACCAGCUGGCUGCAACUGUUUAUUAAAAACACAGCACUGUGCAAACACGAAAGUGGACGUAUACGGUGUGACGCCUGCCCGGUGCCGGAAGGUUAAUUGAUGGGGUCAGCGCAAGCGAAGCUCCUGAUCGAAGCCCCGGUAAACGGCGGCCGUAACUAUAACGGUCCUAAGGUAGCGAAAUUCCUUGUCGGGUAAGUUCCGACCUGCACGAAUGGCGUAAUGAUGGCCAGGCUGUCUCCACCCGAGACUCAGUGAAAUUGAACUCGCUGUGAAGAUGCAGUGUACCCGCGGCAAGACGGAAAGACCCCGUGAACCUUUACUAUAGCUUGACACUGAACAUUGAGCCUUGAUGUGUAG
Molecule: ribosomal RNA, 879 nt
Filed under: Salmonella enterica
Lineage: Bacteria; Pseudomonadati; Pseudomonadota; Gammaproteobacteria; Enterobacterales; Enterobacteriaceae
Also listed under: 1 other name
Description: partial 23S ribosomal RNA
Rfam family: Bacterial large subunit ribosomal RNA
Source: RNAcentral